UCCCUCUUACGGUUGCACCUGAAGAGUUCCCAGUACUCUACCAGUCUUGGCUACGAGAGGGAGAGUCAAGCAGAGGCAUAGCCAUUCCAUUUCUAGCUUGGUCAGUGGUUAGCAAGUGGAAGGCAAUCUGCUACAAGU
Molecule: small nucleolar RNA, 138 nt
Filed under: Ornithorhynchus anatinus (platypus)
Lineage: Eukaryota; Metazoa; Chordata; Mammalia; Monotremata; Ornithorhynchidae
Source: RNAcentral